Molecule: long non-coding RNA, 782 nt
Filed under: Heterocephalus glaber (naked mole-rat)
Lineage: Eukaryota; Metazoa; Chordata; Mammalia; Rodentia; Bathyergidae
Description: lncRNA (ENSHGLG00000047791.1)
Source: RNAcentral
UGGACGAUCCCCCCCAGGAUGGGGUUGAUUGACCUUUUGGCCAUCUCCAAUGGACCUAUCUGCCAUUGCCAGGACCCUCCGGGGCUUUCUACCUUUGCCAUUGCUGGCGCUACACAUCCACACCGGUCACCAAUGUCUGGGGGCUGCCUCCUCCUCACCCGCUCUAAUCAGGGGGCCCAACAAUCCAAACCCCGCCCCUCAAUGCCUCCGGGCUGCCUUCUGGCACAACUCAAACCCCUCGGAUUGUUGGGACCAGACUUUAAGCCAAAAAGACUUGUUUUCUAUUACAAUCAGGUUUGACCUCAGUAUAAAUUAGAUAAUGGGUUUCCAUGGCCCAAAAAUGGCACUUUCAAGUUUAACUUACUGUGUGAUUUACACAACUUCUGUCAACACAAUGGCAAAUGGUCAGAAAUCCCCUACAUACAAGCCUUUCCUAACUAUGCUUUUAACCCUCCCUCUGUCAAACCUGUUCUCCUUCUCAAAUCGUCCUAGCCUGAGCCAAUCACUCACCGCUCAUACCUCCCCCACUUUAUAACUCUGUUGAUAGGAAAAAGUUUUAAAGUUUAAUAGAUUAGCUAUUAAAGUAGUUGUGGAAGCAAACUAGGUAGUGUAUCCCUUUAAAAACUUGCCUUAGCCCAUUGCUUCUGCUGUUUAAAGUAAAGGUUAUAUAGCUUCUUUGAUUUGUAGCUCCACUAUAGAUAACAUCCUAACUAAAGAACAAAGUGGGAAUCCUUGAACAAACUUGUGAGACAUGUGCCUUAACUGUCAUGUGUUUAGGGCUG